RNAcentral lists this ribosomal RNA (315 nucleotides) under Triticum aestivum (bread wheat). RNAcentral's name for it is "partial small subunit ribosomal RNA". The record is from RNAcentral. Lineage: Eukaryota; Viridiplantae; Streptophyta; Magnoliopsida; Poales; Poaceae.
AUGGCUCUUCUGAUGGCUGAGGUGACUUGGUUACGAUGGUUACUGGAGGAUUUUGGUGUUUCUGUUACUACACCUACCACCCUCCUAUCAGACAUCACAGGUGCUAUUAGUAUUGCGCGGGACCCUAUGAAGCAUGAGCUUACCAAACACAUUGGUGUUGAUGCUUCUUAUGUGCGUGCUGCUGUGCAGGAUCAUGUUGUUGCUCUUCAGUAUGUGCCUUCUGAGUUACAGCUUGCGGACUUCUUCACGAAGGCUCAGACUAGAGCGCAACAUGGGUUUCACCUCUCCAAACUCAGUGUUGUGGAUCAACCAUGA